Molecule: ribosomal RNA, 2834 nt
Filed under: Staphylococcus aureus M1
Lineage: Bacteria; Bacillati; Bacillota; Bacilli; Caryophanales; Staphylococcaceae
Description: LSU rRNA
Rfam family: Bacterial large subunit ribosomal RNA
Source: RNAcentral
GAUUAAGUUAUUAAGGGCGCACGGUGGAUGCCUUGGCACUAGAAGCCGAUGAAGGACGUUACUAACGACGAUAUGCUUUGGGGAGCUGUAAGUAAGCUUUGAUCCAGAGAUUUCCGAAUGGGGAAACCCAGCAUGAGUUAUGUCAUGUUAUCGAUAUGUGAAUACAUAGCAUAUCAGAAGGCACACCCGGAGAACUGAAACAUCUUAGUACCCGGAGGAAGAGAAAGAAAAUUCGAUUCCCUUAGUAGCGGCGAGCGAAACGGGAAGAGCCCAAACCAACAAGCUUGCUUGUUGGGGUUGUAGGACACUCUAUACGGAGUUACAAAGGACGACAUUAGACGAAUCAUCUGGAAAGAUGAAUCAAAGAAGGUAAUAAUCCUGUAGUCGAAAAUGUUGUCUCUCUUGAGUGGAUCCUGAGUACGACGGAACACGUGAAAUUCCGUCGGAAUCUGGGAGGACCAUCUCCUAAGGCUAAAUACUCUCUAGUGACCGAUAGUGAACCAGUACCGUGAGGGAAAGGUGAAAAGCACCCCGGAAGGGGAGUGAAAUAGAACCUGAAACCGUGUGCUUACAAGUAGUCAGAGCCCGUUAAUGGGUGAUGGCGUGCCUUUUGUAGAAUGAACCGGCGAGUUACGAUUUGAUGCAAGGUUAAGCAGUAAAUGUGGAGCCGUAGCGAAAGCGAGUCUGAAUAGGGCGUUUAGUAUUUGGUCGUAGACCCGAAACCAGGUGAUCUACCCUUGGUCAGGUUGAAGUUCAGGUAACACUGAAUGGAGGACCGAACCGACUUACGUUGAAAAGUGAGCGGAUGAACUGAGGGUAGCGGAGAAAUUCCAAUCGAACCUGGAGAUAGCUGGUUCUCUCCGAAAUAGCUUUAGGGCUAGCCUCAAGUGAUGAUUAUUGGAGGUAGAGCACUGUUUGGACGAGGGGCCCCUCUCGGGUUACCGAAUUCAGACAAACUCCGAAUGCCAAUUAAUUUAACUUGGGAGUCAGAACAUGGGUGAUAAGGUCCGUGUUCGAAAGGGAAACAGCCCAGACCACCAGCUAAGGUCCCAAAAUAUAUGUUAAGUGGAAAAGGAUGUGGCGUUGCCCAGACAACUAGGAUGUUGGCUUAGAAGCAGCCAUCAUUUAAAGAGUGCGUAAUAGCUCACUAGUCGAGUGACACUGCGCCGAAAAUGUACCGGGGCUAAACAUAUUACCGAAGCUGUGGAUUGUCCUUUGGACAAUGGUAGGAGAGCGUUCUAAGGGCGUUGAAGCAUGAUCGUAAGGACAUGUGGAGCGCUUAGAAGUGAGAAUGCCGGUGUGAGUAGCGAAAGACGGGUGAGAAUCCCGUCCACCGAUUGACUAAGGUUUCCAGAGGAAGGCUCGUCCGCUCUGGGUUAGUCGGGUCCUAAGCUGAGGCCGACAGGCGUAGGCGAUGGAUAACAGGUUGAUAUUCCUGUACCACCUAUAAUCGUUUUAAUCGAUGGGGGGACGCAGUAGGAUAGGCGAAGCGUGCGAUUGGAUUGCACGUCUAAGCAGUAAGGCUGAGUAUUAGGCAAAUCCGGUACUCGUUAAGGCUGAGCUGUGAUGGGGAGAAGACAUUGAGUCUUCGAGUCGUUGAUUUCACACUGCCGAGAAAAGCCUCUAGAUAGAAAAUAGGUGCCCGUACCGCAAACCGACACAGGUAGUCAAGAUGAGAAUUCUAAGGUGAGCGAGCGAACUCUCGUUAAGGAACUCGGCAAAAUGACCCCGUAACUUCGGGAGAAGGGGUGCUCUUUAGGGUUAACGCCCAGAAGAGCCGCAGUGAAUAGGCCCAAGCGACUGUUUAUCAAAAACACAGGUCUCUGCUAAACCGUAAGGUGAUGUAUAGGGGCUGACGCCUGCCCGGUGCUGGAAGGUUAAGAGGAGUGGUUAGCUUCUGCGAAGCUACGAAUCGAAGCCCCAGUAAACGGCGGCCGUAACUAUAACGGUCCUAAGGUAGCGAAAUUCCUUGUCGGGUAAGUUCCGACCCGCACGAAAGGCGUAACGAUUUGGGCACUGUCUCAACGAGAGACUCGGUGAAAUCAUAGUACCUGUGAAGAUGCAGGUUACCCGCGACAGGACGGAAAGACCCCGUGGAGCUUUACUGUAGCCUGAUAUUGAAAUUCGGCACAGCUUGUACAGGAUAGGUAGGAGCCUUUGAAACGUGAGCGCUAGCUUACGUGGAGGCGCUGGUGGGAUACUACCCUAGCUGUGUUGGCUUUCUAACCCGCACCACUUAUCGUGGUGGGAGACAGUGUCAGGCGGGCAGUUUGACUGGGGCGGUCGCCUCCUAAAAGGUAACGGAGGCGCUCAAAGGUUCCCUCAGAAUGGUUGGAAAUCAUUCAUAGAGUGUAAAGGCAUAAGGGAGCUUGACUGCGAGACCUACAAGUCGAGCAGGGUCGAAAGACGGACUUAGUGAUCCGGUGGUUCCGCAUGGAAGGGCCAUCGCUCAACGGAUAAAAGCUACCCCGGGGAUAACAGGCUUAUCUCCCCCAAGAGUUCACAUCGACGGGGAGGUUUGGCACCUCGAUGUCGGCUCAUCGCAUCCUGGGGCUGUAGUCGGUCCCAAGGGUUGGGCUGUUCGCCCAUUAAAGCGGUACGCGAGCUGGGUUCAGAACGUCGUGAGACAGUUCGGUCCCUAUCCGUCGUGGGCGUAGGAAAUUUGAGAGGAGCUGUCCUUAGUACGAGAGGACCGGGAUGGACAUACCUCUGGUGUACCAGUUGUCGUGCCAACGGCAUAGCUGGGUAGCUAUGUGUGGACGGGAUAAGUGCUGAAAGCAUCUAAGCAUGAAGCCCCCCUCAAGAUGAGAUUUCCCAACUUCGGUUAUAAGAUC